Molecule: ribosomal RNA, 253 nt
Filed under: uncultured bacterium
Lineage: Bacteria
Description: partial 16S ribosomal RNA
Rfam family: Bacterial small subunit ribosomal RNA
Source: RNAcentral
UACAGGGGGUGCUAGCGUUGUUCGGAAUUACUGGGCGUAAAGGGCGCGUAGGCGGUCUUACAAGUCAGGGGUGAAAUACCGGAGCUUAACUUCGGAAUUGCUCUUGAUACUGUAGGGCUAGAGUAUGUUAGAGGAUGGCGGAAUUCCUAGUGUAGAAGUGAAAUUCGUAGAUAUUAGGAAGAACACCGGUGGCGAAGGCGGCCAUCUGGGACAUAACUGACGCUGAGGCGCGAAAGCGUGGGGAUCAAACAGG